UGGCGCCCAGUGUGGGGUACCUGGCACGAAGGGGUCAACGAGGGAGCUGUCCGGAGACUCGCGCAUAAGAAGGGAACUAAGAGUUUUGUGACCAACGCUACGCGGGGGCCUGCCACGCUGCUGGAGUCACAGUAAGUGGACGGCAAUACUUUCCCUAUUUUUCCGGCAUGGGUCAGGCAUUAAGUGAUCAUAAACACUUUGUGUCAGGUUUAAGUAAAGCUUUAAAGACAAGAGGGAUAAAGGCUAAAAAUACAAAAUUUAUUGCAAUACUUUCAAUUUAUUCAUGAGGUUUGCCCUU
Molecule: regulatory RNA element, 298 nt
Organism: Cavia porcellus (domestic guinea pig)
Lineage: Eukaryota; Metazoa; Chordata; Mammalia; Rodentia; Caviidae
Rfam family: Mason-Pfizer monkey virus packaging signal
About the family: The packaging signal is located in the 5' UTR and is required for specific RNA encapsidation.
Source: Rfam